RNAcentral lists this ribosomal RNA (340 nucleotides) under Trichocomaceae sp. JAMSTECF1. Its description in RNAcentral is "SSU rRNA". It matches the Rfam family "Eukaryotic small subunit ribosomal RNA", at positions 759 to 1100 of the family's 1831-position model. Lineage: Eukaryota; Fungi; Ascomycota; Eurotiomycetes; Eurotiales; Trichocomaceae. The record is from RNAcentral.
GAAAAAAUUAGAGUGUUCAAAGCAGGCCUUUGCUCGAAUACAUUAGCAUGGAAUAAUAGAAUAGGACGUGCGGUUCUAUUUUGUUGGUUUCUAGGACCGCCGUAAUGAUUAAUAGGGAUAGUCGGGGGCGUCAGUAUUCAGCUGUCAGAGGUGAAAUUCUUGGAUUUGCUGAAGACUAACUACUGCGAAAGCAUUCGCCAAGGAUGUUUUCAUUAAUCAGGGAACGAAAGUUAGGGGAUCGAAGACGAUCAGAUACCGUCGUAGUCUUAACCAUAAACUAUGCCGACUAGGGAUCGGACGGGAUUCUAUAAUGACCCGUUCGGCACCUUACGAGAAAUCA